Molecule: ribosomal RNA, 492 nt
Filed under: uncultured bacterium
Lineage: Bacteria
Description: partial 16S ribosomal RNA
Rfam family: Bacterial small subunit ribosomal RNA
Source: RNAcentral
AGUGAACGCUGGCGGUAGGCCUAACACAUGCAAGUCGAACGGCAGCACAGUAAGAGCUUGCUCUUACGGGUGGCGAGUGGCGGACGGGUGAGGAAUACAUCGGAAUCUACUUUUUCGUGGGGGAUAACGUAGGGAAACUUACGCUAAUACCGCAUACGACCUACGGGUGAAAGCAGGGGAUCUUCGGACCUUGCGCGAAUGAAUGAGCCGAUGUCGGAUUAGCUAGUUGGCGGGGUAAAGGCCCACCAAGGCGACGAUCCGUAGCUGGUCUGAGAGGAUGAUCAGCCACACUGGAACUGAGACACGGUCCAUACUCCUACGGGAGGCAGCAGUGGGGAAUAUUGGACAAUGGGCGCAAGCCUGAUCCAGCCAUACCGCGUGGGUGAAGAAGGCCUUCGGGUUGUAAAACCCUUUUGUUGGGAAAGAAAAGCAGCAGGUUAAUACCCCGCUGUUCUGACGGUACCCAAAGAAUAAGCACCGGCUAACUUCGUG